AUGUAUUUUUCUACCUUUAUUUUAUUUCUCCAAUGGUUAAUUGGUUAAUGUUAAGCAUAUAACUAGCCUAUUUCAAAUAGAUAGUAUUGGUGGUGGUUUCAAACUUUGAAAUUUGGAUAUAUCUACAAACAUUAAAAAAGAAAAAAAUUUGCAUCUUCAAGCCAAUAGAAAGAAAAUAAAAUGUAUGAAACAUUAUUGUCCAGCUGAAAAUUGCAACCCAACAAUAAAAACUACAAACUUAGACAAUUACAUAUUUAGACAAAAUACAAAUUACAUUGUCCCAUUAACAUUAUAACAAACAUGCAUCUUUGUGCAUUCAAAAGUAAAUGUAAUCAUAAUUCUUGAAGCCACUUCCAUAAUAGAAAACUGUAGAAGAACAUCCUUGCAUCUUCUAACUCUCAAAACCUACAAACACAAAAUUGAAACAUUAGCAAUUGGGAUGGUAGUAUUUAUCAUAAUAAAAAUAAAGCCCCAUCCAACCGGCAAAAAAAAAAAA
RNAcentral lists this long non-coding RNA (496 nucleotides) under Phoenix dactylifera (date palm). RNAcentral's name for it is "long non-coding RNA (PDAC_LNC021753)". The record is from RNAcentral. Lineage: Eukaryota; Viridiplantae; Streptophyta; Magnoliopsida; Arecales; Arecaceae.